AGCCUCAUAGUGAAAUUCAUAACGGAUUGCAAAUUCGUAGAUGUACUUUAAGUAGUACUGGGGUUU
RNAcentral lists this transfer RNA (66 nucleotides) under Alligator mississippiensis (American alligator). RNAcentral's name for it is "tRNA-Cys". The record is from RNAcentral. Lineage: Eukaryota; Metazoa; Chordata; Crocodylia; Alligatoridae.